This 498-nucleotide ribosomal RNA is filed under the name Klebsiella pneumoniae. RNAcentral's name for it is "bacterial SSU rRNA". It matches the Rfam family "Bacterial small subunit ribosomal RNA", at positions 899 to 1397 of the family's 1533-position model. Lineage: Bacteria; Pseudomonadati; Pseudomonadota; Gammaproteobacteria; Enterobacterales; Enterobacteriaceae. The record is from RNAcentral.
ACUCAAAUGAAUUGACGGGGGCCCGCACAAGCGGUGGAGCAUGUGGUUUAAUUCGAUGCAACGCGAAGAACCUUACCUGGUCUUGACAUCCACAGAACUUUCCAGAGAUGGAUUGGUGCCUUCGGGAACUGUGAGACAGGUGCUGCAUGGCUGUCGUCAGCUCGUGUUGUGAAAUGUUGGGUUAAGUCCCGCAACGAGCGCAACCCUUAUCCUUUGUUGCCAGCGGUUAGGCCGGGAACUCAAAGGAGACUGCCAGUGAUAAACUGGAGGAAGGUGGGGAUGACGUCAAGUCAUCAUGGCCCUUACGACCAGGGCUACACACGUGCUACAAUGGCGCAUACAAAGAGAAGCGACCUCGCGAGAGCAAGCGGACCUCAUAAAGUGCGUCGUAGUCCGGAUUGGAGUCUGCAACUCGACUCCAUGAAGUCGGAAUCGCUAGUAAUCGUAGAUCAGAAUGCUACGGUGAAUACGUUCCCGGGCCUUGUACACACCGCCCGU